This 1586-nucleotide long non-coding RNA is filed under the name Homo sapiens (human). RNAcentral describes it as "HSALNT0378584". The record is from RNAcentral. Lineage: Eukaryota; Metazoa; Chordata; Mammalia; Primates; Hominidae.
GUUUUCCUGCCCAAAUGUUGCAUUUCCCAAGACCACCCUGGCCUACCAUGACCCCAUCCUGUGCCUAUAAAAACCCCCGAGAGCCUAGCGGGGAGACACACAGGCAGCUGAAGUCAAGAGGAGCACAUCAGCGGAGGAACACACGGGCAGCUGGAUGUUGAAAGGAACACACUGACAGGCACCAGCAUCCCAGCAGGCCACCAACUGGCAGAAUGACGGCAGAGUUUGCCUGGGGAAGUUGGAGGAGAGCUCUGGGGAAAACCAUCCCCGGAGAGACUCCAGGGGACAAUCCAUCUCCCUUAUGGCUCCUCCAUCUGCUCAGAGCUCUUCCUCCAGUGACACUUCUCAGUGAAACCCAAGUGAUUCUCCAAGCCCAUGUGUGAUCCAAUUCUUCCGGUACACAAAGGCAAGAACCCCAGGAUACAGAAAGCCCUCUGUCCAUGUGAUAAGGCAGGGGUCUAACUGAGCUGACUAACACAGCCACCUAUGGACCCUAACAGAGUCUACUGUAACACAUGCCCACUGGGGUUUCAGUUGUGAACACUCAAGCCCUAGACGUUGUCGUGGAGUCAGAGCCCCACAGCCUGCCCGUCUGUAUGCUCCCCUAGAGGCUGGAGCAGCAAGGCACUGAAGAAGCGAGUCAUAUCCCAUCAUAUGCCCUGCGAGGAGGACAAGGAAACUUCCCAUUACAACUGGGGAUCGUCUGGGAUCGCAGAAGAAUGUGCAACCAGUUCUCUUCACCAUCCCCAGCUUAUACUCCUCUAAAGUGUAUCCUGAACAAUUGGGACUGCUUUGAUCCUCAGAAUCUGGAGGAAAAUGGCCUCAUAGCCCUCUGCACAAAGGUUUGGCCAAAUUAUGAUUUACAGGAAGGACUGGCUUGGGCUCAGGAAGGAACCAUUCACUACAAUGGCAUUCAACAAUUAGAACUCUUCUGUAGAUGUGAGGAUAGACAGUUCUGAGGCCGAUAUGUACAGGUUUCUAUACCUUGCAAGGCAAUACAGACCUUUGCCAACAAUGUAGGAUUGAUCUAGCCCUCCUGUUUGCCAUCUCAGGAAAGGCUGAAAGGGGCAAGCCCAGGGAAUUAAUUAAAGAUACUAGUCCCAGAGGCACUCCCAGCAGAGGAGCCAGCUCCCUCAAGCCCUGCUCCUCCGGGUCCACCCCAACCUCCCUAUCCAGCCUCAGCCUCUCACUUGCCCCCUCAUAGAAAUCCCAAAUUAUGAUUUACAGGAAGGACUGGCUUGGCCUCAGGAAGGAACCAUUCAUUACAAUACCAUCCAGCAAUUGAAACAUUUCUAUAGAUGUGAGGAUAGACGGUUCUGAGGCCCAUGUGAGCAGGCUGUCUAUACCUUGCAAGGCAAUCCAGGCCUUUGGCCAACAAUAUAGGAUUGAUCCAGACCUCCUGCUUGCCAUCUCAGGAAAGGCUGCAAGGGGCAAGCCCAGGCAAUUAAAGAUACAAGUCCCAGAGGCACUCCCAGCAAAGGAGCCAGCUCCCUCAAGUCCUGCUCCUCUGGGUCCACCCCGACCUCCCUAUCCAGCUUCAGCCUCUCACUUGCCCCCUCCAAGAAAUCCUCACCCUAAACAAGCCC